AGGGCACCACCAGGAGUGGAGCCUGCGGCUUAAUUUGACUCAACACGGGGAAACUCACCCGGCCCGGACACCGGAAGGAUUGACAGAUUGAUAGCUCUUUCUUGAUUCGGUGGAUGGUGGUGCAUGGCCGUUCUUAGUUGGUGGAGCGAUCUGUCUGGUUAAUUCCGAUAACGAACGAGACUCUAGCCUAUUAAAUAGACGUCGGGUUCUCUGCACUCGACGGUCUUCUUAGAGGGACAAGGUGCUUUUAGCACCGCGAAACAGAGCAAUAACAGGUCUGUGACGCCCUUAGAUGUCCGGGGCCGCACGCGCGCUACACUGAAGGAAGCAGCGUGUAACAACCUUGUUCUAACGAACUGGGUAACCCGUGGAACUUCCUUCAUGAUUGGGAUAGGGGUUUGCAAUUGUGCCCCUUGAACGAGGAAUUCCCAGUAAACACUAGUCAUCAGCUAGUGCUGAUUACGUCCCUGCCCUUUAUACACACCGCCCGUCGCUACUACCGAUUGAAUGGUUUAGUGA
Molecule: ribosomal RNA, 519 nt
Filed under: uncultured eukaryote
Lineage: Eukaryota
Description: SSU rRNA
Rfam family: Eukaryotic small subunit ribosomal RNA
Source: RNAcentral